AGGCCAAUCAAACCCGGAGAUAUCUCGUUCUCCCCGAAAUAGCUUUAGGGCUAGCGUCGCGCGUUCACCGCCGGAGGUAGAGCACCGGAUGGACGAGGGGGCUUCGCCGCCUACCGAAUCCAACCGAACUCCGAAUGCCGGCGGCCCAGAGCGCGGCAGUCAGAGCAUGUGGGCUAAGCUGUGUGCUCGAGAGGGAAACAGCCCGGACCGCCCGCUAAGGUCCCCAAGUUCCAGCCGAGUGGCAAAGGAUGUGCGUCCGCCCAGACAACCAGGAUGUUGGCUUAGAAGCAGCCAUCCAUUCAAAGAGUGCGUAACAGCUCACUGGUCGAGUGGACAUGCGCCGACAAUACACGGGGCUAAGCUGGACACCGAAGCGGCGGGAUUUUAAUUCAUUAGAAUCGGUAGGGGAGCUUCCCAUGGGCGGAGAAGCCGGAGGGCGACCGACGGUGGAGCGCAUGGGAGUGAGAAUGCUGGCAUGAGUAGCGAGAGACGAGAGAGUAACUCGUCCGCCGUGAACCCGAGGUUUCCUGGGCAAGGCUAAUCCUCCCAGGGUCAGUCGGGGGCUAAGGCGAGGCCGGGAGGCGUAGCCGACGCGCAGCAGGCAGACAUUCCUGCACCGCGCACGCGGCGCUACGACCGACGGGGCGACGGAUGGGGGUGGCUCGGCGGGGUUCUGGACGUCCCCGUGAUGGAGCGCGGCCCGCGGACCAGGGAAAUCCGGUCCGCACGAGGGCGAGGCUCCGGACGAAGCGAUUGAGCGAAGCGAGUGAGCCCGAGGUCCCUAGAAAAACCCCUAGGCAGGCGCGUGCGCGCCCGUACCGCAAACCGACACAGGUGGGUGGGUAGAACAUACCGAGGCGAUCGGGUCAACCAUGGUCAAGGAACUCGGCACAAUGGCCCCGUAACUUCGGGAGAAGGGGUGCCCGCGCGUACGUGAACGGACUUGCUCCGGGAGCGGAGGCGGGCCGCAGUGGAGAGGCCCAAGCGACUGUUUACCAAAAACACAGGACUCUGCAGAAGCCGCAAGGCGACGUAUAGGGUCUGACGCCUGCCCGGUGCCGGAAGGUCACGCGGAGGAGUUAGCCGAUUCGGCGAAGCCCCGAAGCCAAGCCCCGGUAAACGGCGGCCGUAACUAUAACGGUCCUAAGGUAGCGAAAUUCCUUGUCGGGUAAGUUCCGACCUGCACGAAAGGCGCAACGACUUGGGCGCUGUCUCGACCAUGGACCCGGUGAAAUUGCACUGGUCGUGAAGAUGCGACUUACCCGCGGAAGGACGGAAAGACCCCGUGAACCUUCACUGCAGCUUGGCAUUGGCCGCUGGUCCCGCGUGUAGAGGAUAGGCAGGAGGCAUCGAUCCGGAGGCGCCAGCCCCCGGGGAGCCGCCCUUGGAAUACUGCCCUCGCGCGACCGGCGUCCUAACCCGAGGCCGUCAACCGGCUCGGGGACCGUGCCAGGCGGGCAGUUUGACUGGGGCGGUCGCCUCCUAAAGGGUAACGGAGGCGCGCGAAGGUCCGCUCGGGACGGUCGGCAACCGUCCUUUUGAAUGCAAGAGUACAAGCGGGCUUGACUGCGAGGCCCACAAGCCGAGCAGGUGCGAAAGCAGGCUCUAGUGAUCCGGCGGCCCCGAGUGGGUGGGCCGUCGCUCAACGGAUAAAAGGUACUCCGGGGAUAACAGGCUGAUCUUGCCCAAGAGUCCACAUCGACGGCAAGGUUUGGCACCUCGAUGUCGGCUCAUCGCAUCCUGGGGCUGGAGCAGGUCCCAAGGGUACGGCUGUUCGCCGUUUAAAGCGGUACGCGAGCUGGGUUCAGAACGUCGUGAGACAGUUCGGUCCCUAUCCUCCGUGGGCGCAGGAGAAUCGAUGGAGGCUGCCCCCAGUACGAGAGGACCGGGGUGGACGCACCUCCGGUGAACCGGUUGUCGACCAACGGCACGGCCGGGUAGCCGCGUGCGGCGCGGAUAACCGCUGAAGGCAUCUAAGCGGGAAGCCGUUCCAGGGAUUAGUUCUCCUUCCGGUAAGGGCCCAGGUAGACUACCUGGUCGAUAGACGGCAGGUGCAAGGCUGGCGACAGCCUCAGCCGAGCCGCACUAAUCGCCCGAGCUCUUCCGGAA
Molecule: ribosomal RNA, 2109 nt
Filed under: human gut metagenome
Description: bacterial LSU rRNA
Rfam family: Bacterial large subunit ribosomal RNA
Source: RNAcentral